Molecule: transfer RNA, 191 nt
Filed under: Metarhizium anisopliae
Lineage: Eukaryota; Fungi; Ascomycota; Sordariomycetes; Hypocreales; Clavicipitaceae
Description: tRNA-Leu
Source: RNAcentral
GUUUUAAUAGUAAAAAAAGCAGAUAACUUAAAUAUAAGAUUAACUUAAAAUAUAAGAGAGACCUUAUAAAUAUAUAUUAUAUAUAUAAGUAUUUUAGGUUUUUAGCAUAACUUAAUAUAAAUUAUAGCUAUAAAAUUAUAAUAAUAUAUAAGGUUUAAUUAUAUAAUAAUAGUUAAAGCUAUUAUAAAGUA